This 94-nucleotide non-coding RNA is filed under the name Vitrella brassicaformis. The record is from RNAcentral. Lineage: Eukaryota; Vitrellaceae.
GAAGGCACACUGAGGGUCGGAUGUGUUUGUGUGUGUGUUUUCUUCUUUUUUUUUCCUUUUCUUUCUUUUUUUUCCUCUUUUUUUCCCCCUCUUU